RNAcentral lists this ribosomal RNA (246 nucleotides) under uncultured bacterium. RNAcentral's name for it is "partial small subunit ribosomal RNA". It matches the Rfam family "Bacterial small subunit ribosomal RNA", at positions 26 to 288 of the family's 1533-position model. The record is from RNAcentral.
AGAAUCAACGCUGGCGGCGUGCCUAACACAUGCAAGUCGAACGAGAAAGUGGAGCAAUCCACGAGUAAAGUGGCGCACGGGUGAGUAACACGUGACUAACCUACCCUUGAGUGGGGGAUAACCUAGGGAAACCUGGGCUAAUACCGCAUAAUACCUUCGGGUCAAAGGAGCAAUUCGCUUAAGGAGGGGUCGCGGCCGAUUAGUUAGUUGGCGGGUAAUGGCCCACCAAGACUGUGAUCGGUAUCC